This 1346-nucleotide ribosomal RNA is filed under the name uncultured bacterium. Its description in RNAcentral is "partial 16S ribosomal RNA". It matches the Rfam family "Bacterial small subunit ribosomal RNA", at positions 28 to 1381 of the family's 1533-position model. The record is from RNAcentral.
GACGAACGCUGGCGGCGUGCUUAACACAUGCAAGUCGAACGGAAAGGCCCUGCUUUUGUGGGGUGCUCGAGUGGCGAACGGGUGAGUAACACGUGAGUAACCUGCCCUUGACUUUGGGAUAACUUCAGGAAACUGGGGCUAAUACCGGAUAGGAGCUCCUGCUGCAUGGUGGGGGUUGGAAAGUUUCGGCGGUUGGGGAUGGACUCGCGGCUUAUCAGCUUGUUGGUGGGGUAGUGGCUUACCAAGGCUUUGACGGGUAGCCGGCCUGAGAGGGUGACCGGCCACGUUGGGACUGAGAUACGGCCCAGACUCCUACGGGAGGCAGCAGUGGGGAAUAUUGCACAAUGGGCGGAAGCCUGAUGCAGCAACGCCGCGUGCGGGAUGACGGCCUUCGGGUUGUAAACCGCUUUCGCCUGUGACGAAGCGUGAGUGACGGUAAUGGGUAAAGAAGCACCGGCUAACUACGUGCCAGCAGCCGCGGUGAUACGUAGGGUGCGAGCGUUGUCCGGAUUUAUUGGGCGUAAAGGGCUCGUAGGUGGUUGAUCGCGUCGGAAGUGUAAUCUUGGGGCUUAACCCUGAGCGUGCUUUCGAUACGGGUUGACUUGAGGAAGGUAGGGGAGAAUGGAAUUCCUGGUGGGGCGGUGGAAUGCGCAGAUAUCAGGAGGAACACCAGUGGCGAAGGCGGUUCUCUGGGCCUUUCCUGACGCUGAGGAGCGAAAGCGUGGGGAGCGAACAGGCUUAGAUACCCUGGUAGUCCACGCUGUAAACGGUGGGUACUAGGUGUGGGGUCCAUUCCACGGGUUCCGUGCCGUAGCUAACGCUUUAAGUACCCCGCCUGGGGAGUACGGCCGCAAGGCUAAAACUCAAAGGAAUUGACGGGGCCCCGCACAAGCGGCGGAGCAUGCGGAUUAAUUCGAUGCAACGCGUAGAACCUUACCUGGGUUUGACAUGGAUCGGGAGUGCUCAGAGAUGGGUGUGCCUCUUUUGGGGUCGGUUCACAGGUGGUGCAUGGCUGUCGUCAGCUCGUGUCGUGAGAUGUUGGGUUAAGUCCCGCAACGAGCGCAACCCUUGUUCACUGUUGCCAGCACGUUAUGGUGGGGACUCAGUGGAGACCGCCGGGGUCAACUCGGAGGAAGGUGGGGAUGACGUCAAGUCAUCAUGCCCCUUAUGUCCAGGGCUUCACGCAUGCUACAAUGGCUGGUACAGAGAGUGGCGAGCCUGUGAGGGUGAGCGAAUCUCGGAAAGCCGGUCUCAGUUCGGAUUGGGGUCUGCAACUCGACCUCAUGAAGUCGGAGUCGCUAGUAAUCGCAGAUCAGCAACGCUGCGGUGAAUACGUUCCCGGGGCU